UACAGGGGGUGCAAACGUUGCUCGGAAUCAUUGGGCGUAAAGCGUGCGUAGGCGGUUCUCCAAGUCCGUUGUGAAAGCCCCGGGCUCAACCUGGGAAUGGCAGUGGAAACUAGGGGGCUGGAAUCUGGCAGAGGGGGGUGGAAUGCCGCGUGUAGCAGUGAAAUGCGUAGAGAUGCGGCGGAACACCGAUGGCGAAGGCAGCCCCCUGGGCUGAGAUUGACGCUCAGGCACGAAAGCGUGGGGAGCAAACAGG
RNAcentral lists this ribosomal RNA (253 nucleotides) under uncultured bacterium. Its description in RNAcentral is "partial 16S ribosomal RNA". It matches the Rfam family "Bacterial small subunit ribosomal RNA", at positions 524 to 776 of the family's 1533-position model. The record is from RNAcentral.